Molecule: ribosomal RNA, 233 nt
Filed under: uncultured bacterium
Lineage: Bacteria
Description: partial 16S ribosomal RNA
Rfam family: Bacterial small subunit ribosomal RNA
Source: RNAcentral
CGGGACGGGUGAGUAAUGUCUGGGAAACUGCCUGAUGGAGGGGGAUAACUACUGGAAACGGUAGCUAAUACCGCAUAACGUCGCAAGACCAAAGAGGGGGACCUUCGGGCCUCUUGCCAUCGGAUGUGCCCUGAUGGGAUUAGCUAGUAGGUGGGGUAACGGCUCACCUAGGCGACGAUCCCUAGCUGGUCUGAGAGGAUGACCAGCCACACUGGAACUGAGACACGGUCCAG